This is an unclassified non-coding RNA of Cricetulus griseus (Chinese hamster), 270 nucleotides long. Its record names the gene 7SK. It matches the Rfam family "7SK RNA". Rfam says of the family: 7SK was discovered as an abundant small nuclear RNA in the mid-70s but a possible function has only recently been suggested. The record is from Ensembl. NCBI's taxonomy places the organism in Eukaryota, Metazoa, Chordata, Mammalia, Rodentia, Cricetidae.
GGGUUCAAUGGCAAUCUGGCUGUGACAUCUGUCACCCCAUUGAUCUCCAUUGUUGAUUUUGGCAUGUGCAAAGCCCCAGAAGCUUCAGGCUUAUGGGAAAAUUACCUUCCCCAAACAGGAAAAUGGUCCUUGGUCAAGGGUAUCUAAGUAAUUGCUGUCCACUGCUAGAAUCCCCAAACAAGAUCUCUGUCAUUUAAUAUGUUGUGCCAACUUUCUUGAUUCUUAGGUACUAUUGGAUAUGCUGGGGUAUAGCUCUCAAGGCAAAACUGU